GCCUGGGGUCUUAAUGUGCCCCUCCAGGCCUCUCUGUCUAGGCCUUGGGGUUUUCUGUAGACCAUGCCCCUUUCUAGGCCACACCCCACCCUGACAUUAUCCCAUGCCCUCCUCAAAUGCCUUUGCCUUGGUUGAAAUAUGUCACUGAAUUGUCAUAAUGCCUCUUGAUUCCUUCAUUGCUUCAUUGGGAAUCUGGGACAGAGAGACAUAGGUACAGGAACCACUGGCUUGCCAUGGCUGGAAUGUAGCCUACUGCACAAAGAGAUUGAAACCAGGGGGCUGGUCAGAAUCAAAUAACACCAGAGUCUGAUCAGCAUUACAGAUUUGAUAAAGUAAAGGCUAUGGACUUCUGUGAAGAUAAUCCAGCGGGAUGUUAGAGGUGAAUCAUCUCUCAAACAGAGGAUUAAAGAACACAGUUUAGAUGACUGCAACAAGAUACACCUAUUCUAGCCCAGCUCUUUAAUUUUCCUCCAGUGCUAUCAGCUGGGUCUGGCAGCCAUUAUAUAAAUUUUCCUGCAAUGCCCCUGAUGCAGCAAAAUCUGGAGCACUGUGGGAAUUUAAAACGGU
This is a long non-coding RNA of Podarcis raffonei (Aeolian wall lizard), 567 nucleotides long. RefSeq lists it as uncharacterized. NCBI's taxonomy places the organism in Eukaryota, Metazoa, Chordata, Lepidosauria, Squamata, Lacertidae. The transcript is spliced from 3 exons. The record is from RefSeq and is a predicted model, not a curated record.